RNAcentral lists this unclassified non-coding RNA (1567 nucleotides) under Hevea brasiliensis (rubber tree). The record is from RNAcentral. Lineage: Eukaryota; Viridiplantae; Streptophyta; Magnoliopsida; Malpighiales; Euphorbiaceae.
UUUUUUUUUUUUUUUUUUUCCAAAGGUUCAAAUAAGUCUCUAAAAUGUACCCAAAAAGUAAAUUGAAUCCCUAAAAAAGAUUUGAGCUUAAUCAAACUCCUCACACUUUAAUUUAGGCCAAAUAAAUCCCAAAUUAAAAGAGUUAACUUGCCGUGUUAAAAAAUUGGUAAAGUCGAUUUAAAUAAAUAAAAUAUUAUUUUUAACGUUUUAAGUCAUUAAAAAUAUAUUUUUUAAAAAAGUUAAAUUAUUUACAAAUACAAAAACCAGAGCUUAAUCAUUUCUCAACAAACCUUUAAUUCUUGGCAAAGGUAUGUGUUCUCCCAGAGAAACAAUUCAUGACCCUCUCAAUUCUUGGAAAUUUCUAGUUUUCCUAUGGUUAAAGCCAGUGAUAUCUUAUUCAGCACUAUCGUUUCAAUUUCUCUCCUUUUCUACUCUUCUUUCUCUAACCAAUCUCAGUGGCUGUCUUGUCCUGAACGCAAUUGAGUUUUGUUAUCUAGUCAUUGGAAAGUUAACCAAGAGUAAUGAUGCUUCUGAUGUUAAGAGCGCUAAUGCUUCUGAUGUUAGCUCUCAUGAUGGGUCUUCCAAGAUUGCCAUGGAGAUAACUGAAGCCAUAGAUGAUGUGAACUUGUUAACCACCGUCAAAGUGAUCAAAGGAUAUCCAAAGGAUUACCAGAGCUUCAAGGCCAUCGUUCAAGCGACACUCAAGUGGUAGGGCAGCUUGGUGUGCUAGACCUUGGAAUAUAUAUAUAGGGCUGUGCAAAAAAACUGAACCCAGUCGAAAAAUCGAAUUGAAUCAAAUUUGUUUAAUUUUUUUAGUUAAUUCAGGUCAAUUUGAUUUGAUUUGAUUUUGAGUUUUUAAUAAUUUUUAUUUUUCAAUUUGAUUCGAUUUUUAUAGAAAAAAAUAAAAAAAAUUGAACUGAAUUGAUUUCUCUCUCUAAAGUGUAAAUCAACCAUUUUCCCUUUCUAAAUUGAAUUGUUUUAAUCCCCCUAUGUAUAUAACAUGUUAUCCCUAAACCCUAACCAUUUACCCAAUCUCUCAGCCACUCCCCACCAAACAGUCAGUAACCUAGCCUUCUCUUCUCUCCAUGCUCUCAAACACCAUGACUCUCCUUCUACUCUUCCUCUUCUUCUUCGCAUCACCAUCAACCCAGCUUCAUGCUUCUCCUUCUUCUUCUUCUUCAUAACAUGCCAGCACCAUCACCGCGGUCCAAUGAUCACUCAUGCAUCAUCUUCUACAUCUUCAAUGGUCACACUCAAAUCCCAAAUAGGUAAAGUCAAGAUGCUAUUUGAAUUUGAGAUCUAGGUAUAGUUUUGCCUAAAAACUCUUCAAAUAGUGCUGUUGACUUCACAUUUUUGGACUUUGAAGAACAUUAAAUUUGUACUGUCAAUGAAAUUUAAUGGGAAAUUUGGUUUGUUUCUUUGAUUUGUUGAAUAUGUUGUGAUGAACUAACAUCUGAUUUGGAUAUUUAUAUUGUGUUUGCUUUUUGAUUUGUAGUUUACAUUAGUGUAAUGAAUUUGUAUCUUGUUAAUUUCUUUGAUUCAUUGAAUAUGUUUGCUUUUUUUUUUG